GAGACACUCUUCUGGGGCAAGACUUGCUUCAGUGGGGCUUUGGUGCUCACUGAGUCUGCCCCCCUGAGUAUGUCCCU
This is a microRNA precursor of Myotis lucifugus (little brown bat), 77 nucleotides long. It matches the Rfam family "mir-9229 microRNA precursor family". NCBI's taxonomy places the organism in Eukaryota, Metazoa, Chordata, Mammalia, Chiroptera, Vespertilionidae. The record is from Rfam.